UACGUAGGUGGCAAGCGUUGUCCGGAUUUAUUGGGCGUAAAGGGAGCGCAGGUGGUGACUUAAGUCUGAUGUGAAAGCCCACGGCUCAACCGUGGAGGGUCAUUGGAAACUGGGUCACUUGAGUACAGAAGAGGGAAGUGGAAUUCCAUGUGUAGCGGUGAAAUGCGUAGAGAUAUGGAGGAACACCAGUGGCGAAGGCGGCUCUCUGGCCUAGAACUGACGCUGAAGCGCGAAAGCGUGGGUAGCGAACGGGAUUAGAUACCCCCGUAGU
This 271-nucleotide ribosomal RNA is filed under the name uncultured prokaryote. Its description in RNAcentral is "partial 16S ribosomal RNA". It matches the Rfam family "Bacterial small subunit ribosomal RNA", at positions 524 to 794 of the family's 1533-position model. The record is from RNAcentral.